This 722-nucleotide long non-coding RNA is filed under the name Pan troglodytes (chimpanzee). RNAcentral describes it as "lncRNA (ENSPTRG00000054290.1)". Lineage: Eukaryota; Metazoa; Chordata; Mammalia; Primates; Hominidae. The record is from RNAcentral.
AUGUGUCGGGCUACGCUCGGGCUUCCCCUACCGCCCAUUGUGAUCCAGCCCACUAGGCGCUCCCUGCCGCCCAUUGUGACGCCUGCCAGCCGCAGGCCGGGUCCCCGAGGCGGGCGGCAUUUAGGCUCGGUCUCCACAGCCAUGGCCGCGACGCAGGAGCUGCUGCUGCAGUUGCAGAAGGAUAACCGAGAUGGUCGCCAGCGGAAGCAGGAGCUAGAGAAGCUGAUGCGCGGGCUCGAGGCCAAGAGCGAGAGCCUCAACCAGCGCCUGCAGGACCUAAGCGAGCGGGAGCGAAGGCUGCUGCGGAGGCGAAGCCAGGCAGCGCUGCCUCUGCAAGGGGAGGAGCGCGAGGCGGCGCGGGAGCGCGCGCAGCGGGUGCGCAGAAGACUGGAGGAGGCGGAGCGCCACAAGGAGGACUUGGUGAGGAAGAGUCCUGGAAUGGGGCUGGACCCAGGGUGGGGUGGGGCAGGGCGGGCGGAAGGGGGCGGGAUCCGGGGGUGGGGUGAGGUAGGACCGGCGGAGAGGCCGGCACCGCCCCAGGACCCUGUCCGCAGGAGCAGCACAGCAGGCAGCUGCAGGAGCAGUGGGAGGAGCUGUCGAGUCAGAAGCCCGGUAAACCCCGCCCUUACGAGCCCCGCCUCUAGCUCUUCUACUACGGAGGAGAACCGCAGAGCCAGAAGAGCACGGAGCAGCAACUCGCAGCCCAAUUGGUGACGCUGCAG